RNAcentral lists this ribosomal RNA (295 nucleotides) under uncultured Pseudomonas sp. RNAcentral describes it as "partial 16S ribosomal RNA". It matches the Rfam family "Bacterial small subunit ribosomal RNA", at positions 1089 to 1382 of the family's 1533-position model. Lineage: Bacteria; Pseudomonadati; Pseudomonadota; Gammaproteobacteria; Pseudomonadales; Pseudomonadaceae. The record is from RNAcentral.
GUAACGAGCGCAACCCUGUCCUUAGUUACCAGCACGUUAUGGUGGGCACUCUAAGGAGACUGCCGGUGGACAAACCGGAGGAAGGUGGGGGAUGACGUCAAGUCAUCAUGGCCCUUACGGCCUGGGCUACACACGUGCUACAAUGGUCGGUACAAAGGGUUGCCAAGCCGCGAGGUGGAGCUAAUCCCAUAAAACCGAUCGUAGUCCGGAUCGCAGUCUGCAACUCGACUGCGUGAAGUCGGAAUCGCUAGUAAUCGUGAAUCAGAAUGUCACGGUGAAUACGUUCCCGGGCCUU